Molecule: ribosomal RNA, 395 nt
Filed under: Centroheliozoa sp.
Lineage: Eukaryota; Centroplasthelida
Description: SSU rRNA
Rfam family: Eukaryotic small subunit ribosomal RNA
Source: RNAcentral
GGAAGUGCGAGGCAAUAACAGGUCUGUGAUGCCCUUAGAUGUCCUGGGCUGCACGCGCGCUACACUGACGAACUCAGCGAGUAUAUCACCUUGGCAGAGAUGUCUGGGUAAUCUUUUAAAAGUUCGUCGUGAUGGGGAUAGAUGAUUGUAAUUAUUCGUCUUGAACGAGGAAUUCCUAGUAAGUGUGAGUCAUCAGCUCGCGCUGAUUACGUCCCUGCCCUUUGUACACACCGCCCGUCGCUCCUACCGAUUGAAUGGUCCGGUGAGAACGUCGGAUUUUGCAUUUGAUACUGGGCAACCAGUAACUUGUGCGAGAGAAGUUGUUCAAACCUUACCAUUUAGAGGAAGGAGAAGUCGUAACAAGGUUUCCGUAGGUGAACCUGCAGAAGGAUCAA